RNAcentral lists this ribosomal RNA (468 nucleotides) under uncultured bacterium. RNAcentral describes it as "partial 16S ribosomal RNA". It matches the Rfam family "Bacterial small subunit ribosomal RNA", at positions 28 to 507 of the family's 1533-position model. The record is from RNAcentral.
GACGAACGCUGGCGGUGUGCUUAACACAUGCAAGUCGAACGGUAAGGCCCUUUCGGGGGUACACGUGUGGCGAACGGGAGAGUAACACGUGAGUAACCUGCCCUCAUCUCUGGGAUAACAGUCGGAAACGGUUGCUAAUACUGGAUAUGAGUUUGCACGGCAUCUUGUGGGUUGGAAAGAUUUUUUUUGGUUUGGGAUGGACUCGCGGCCUAUCAGCUUGUUUGUGAGGUAGUGGCUCACCAAGGCUUCGACGGGUAGCCGGCCUGAGAGGGCGACCGGCCACAUUGGGACUGAGAUACGGCACAAACUCCUACGGGAGGCAGCAGUGGGGAAUAUUGCACAAUGGACGGAAGUCUGAUGCAGCAACGCCGCGUGCGGGAUGACGGCCUUCGGGUUGUAAACCGCUUUCAAUUGUGAAGAAGCUUUUUUGUGACGGUAGCAGUAGAAGAAGCACCGGCUAACUACGUG